This 76-nucleotide transfer RNA is filed under the name Blautia obeum. RNAcentral describes it as "tRNA-Met(cat)". It matches the Rfam family "tRNA". From Rfam's summary of the family: Transfer RNA (tRNA) molecules are approximately 80 nucleotides in length. Their secondary structure includes four short double-helical elements and three loops (D, anti-codon, and T loops). Further hydrogen bonds mediate the characteristic L-shaped molecular structure. tRNAs have two regions of fundamental functional importance: the anti-codon, which is responsible for specific mRNA codon recognition, and the 3' end, to which the tRNAs corresponding amino acid is attached (by aminoacyl-tRNA synthetases). tRNAs cope with the degeneracy of the genetic code in two manners: having more than one tRNA (with a specific anti-codon) for a particular amino acid; and 'wobble' base-pairing, i.e. permitting non-standard base-pairing at the 3rd anti-codon position. The record is from RNAcentral. Lineage: Bacteria; Bacillati; Bacillota; Clostridia; Lachnospirales; Lachnospiraceae.
UGGAAACUUAGCUCAGUUGGUUAGAGCAACCGGCUCAUAACCGGUCGGUCCUGGGUUCGAGUCCCAGAGUUUCCAU